UGAGCAAUCUGCCCUUCUCAUCGGAAUAACCAUUGGAAACGAUGGCUAAUGCCGAAUAUGACCUCGGAUCACAUGUUCUGAGGUGGAAAGCUCCGGCGGAGAAGGAUGAGCUCGCGGCCUAUCAGCUAGUUGGUGUGGGUAACGCCCACAAGGCGACGACGGGUAGCCGGCCUGAGAGGGUGACCGGCCACACUGGGACUGAGACACGGCCCAGACUCUACGGGAG
RNAcentral lists this ribosomal RNA (226 nucleotides) under uncultured bacterium. RNAcentral describes it as "partial 16S ribosomal RNA". It matches the Rfam family "Bacterial small subunit ribosomal RNA", at positions 118 to 347 of the family's 1533-position model. The record is from RNAcentral.